AUAUAUUUAUCUCUUUUGUAGAGUGUGCCAAGAACAGUGUCUGACAUACAAAGCAAGCCCUUAAACAAUCCACUGGCUUGUUAUCUGGCAUUCUUUGCAUCACUUCUUUGGAACUGGGACUCAGGAAACUCGUACAAUAAUGUGGACAUUCCAGCCAUUACUAUUGCUCUGCAAGAGGAUGAAAAAGAUAAUGUUUUAUGAAAAUUUGAACAAAAGCAAGUUUUCAAAGCCAUUUAUGUAUACAGUUUAUAUAUACCUAUACAGAACUUUUUAAAGACUUAUUCACCUAAAAGAUGUUUCCUCUACCUGGAACAGCUUUCUCUACCUUCAGUCAAUUGCCUUCCAACUCUUAUCCCUGUUUGGGGAUUUCAGACAAAAUGUCACCUUACCUAGGCUAUCUUAGCCUUCUUUGUGUGCUUCUAGAGUCCACAGUGCCUGAUCCUAUCACAGCAUUUAUCAUAAGAUGCUACAAUUGUGACUUCUUUUGCUUUUUUUUCCUAUUAGACUGUAAUACCUUGAAGAGAAUAGUCUUGCACACUGUUUAGAUACACAGUAUGUAUUUUUGAAUUGAUUACUCUGUAAUUUAAUAAAAUCAUGCUGCUAUGUGCUACUGUGGAUUGAAGCAGUAAAAGGCCCUUGAACAGUAAAAGUGCAUUGGUGGAAAAACUGAUAAUGUCUGAAUAAAGUCUGUAGUUUAGUUAAUAGUGAUGUGCCACUAUUAUUUUCUUAAUUUUGACAAAUAUAACAGUUAUGUAAGAUGUUAAUGUUAGGGAAAACUGCAUGACAAGUACAAGAACUCUGUACUAAAAUUAUUCCAAAAUAAAAAGUUUAUUUAAAAAUUAUUAUGGGAAAUUAUUUAUUAUUAUUAUUAUAUUGUCAGAUGACAUCCACAAAAUUCUGCAAUCUGAAUGGUCCUGGGCCUCACCUGCUUAAGGUAGUAAUGAAAUAUGUCGCUAAUUUCUCACCCCAUCUCUGUUAUAAAGACCACUCUUUUCCCACUAAAUCUAGCUGGUUGUAUCUGGAAAUACUCAGGGGUGAUGUACAAGUGAUCACACACAGUCUUGCUUUAUGUUAUUCCAUUCUGGCAGCUUCGUAAACUGCUGCUCUCAAACUUUUGGAAGGAGUCCCGUUGCUCUACCAGCACUGCCGAUGCAGCUUCUGUGAGAAGACCAGUUCUCUGAGAGCCCGUGGAUCAUUGCCGCUGAACUCUGCACAGAAUUCAGAGUGCUCCUCUUACUCCCUGCUGUUCUUUGUCACCCUGCCAUAAAAUUUGUCCCGUCAGCUUUACCCUUUGCCCUUUCUUCUCCAUAGGGUGUCAGAUCUGUUCCUGUAGUCUAAGUAGUAAACUCAUACCAUUCUGUUUUCCUGAUUUAAUUUGGGAUACUCUUGACCUUCCUUCAGCCAAGAAAUAAUAGGCUCUAAGCCUUCAACUUGUCGUGAAAUGGGCAUGGGUUCUGCUUGAUACGCUCAGCUGGGCUACUCUGCCUGCUAUGGGUUAACUUAUGGAUCUAAGGUUAAUAGGACAGUCAUAGGGGAUGCCAAAUUUAGACUUGACUAUGACCUAGUCUUCAGACUGGACUCAGUCCACUUGGUCAUCCUGACUGGGAAAAUUAAUGACCAGUGGCAACCCUGUAAUACAGUGUCUAUCUGCUUGUCCGUAUUGUCAGAGGUGAAAAGACCUCCUGGUCCAUUUUAGGAACUCUAUUCAAAAAGAAAUUCUAUCCAGAAGAUGUUGUUUACAGUUAUUCUACAUAUUUUAAGGAGUUCCUGAAAACCACUGUCUGUCUUCUAUCCCUGAAAAUAAAGAUCGAUAGAUGUAAUUUUGGACGUAUACUUGGAAAGCUUGAAAUAGCUCUGAGGUGAGUAUGGGUCAUUUUCUACUUCCAUGCAUUUGACUGCUCUUGUCACCAUUCUGUCAGAGUUUCUGCUGAAAGCUGAGAGUCUUUUCAAGUUCUUUGCCCCGUAGACACAUAUGUGUUAGCCAACGAGGAUAGUGCCUGGUAGAAUCUUGGUUAAUUUCCAGAGUCAAGAAGUUGGUAAAUUUGGAUAUCUACAUGGAUGCAUCCAGUGGACAUAAGAAGUAAUUCUUCUUCUUAAACAAACUUCUUUAUACAUGACUUAGCACUCUGAAACUUAAUAUUUACCCUGGAUUCAUCCUACUGUUCUUUAUUCUUGAGUCAUAAUAACAUUGAUUUCUCUUAUCAAAAGAAUUUCCAUUUGGAAUAACGCCAGGGGAUUUAAUGAAUAUAAUUUGUUCUUAAUGCCUUUUCUA
This is a long non-coding RNA of Diceros bicornis minor, 2272 nucleotides long. RefSeq lists it as uncharacterized. Lineage: Eukaryota; Metazoa; Chordata; Mammalia; Perissodactyla; Rhinocerotidae. The transcript has 3 exons. The record is from RefSeq and is a predicted model, not a curated record.